CAACUUUUUCCAAUGCAUUCUUAUAUUUGAUAUUUCAUUCAUUAGCACAUCUUGUCAUAAAGACCAUUUUCAUCAAAAUGCUUUGUUAAAGAGUAAGAAUGUGGUGGGAAAAAAAGUUAA
This 120-nucleotide microRNA precursor is filed under the name Olea europaea subsp. europaea. The record is from RNAcentral. Lineage: Eukaryota; Viridiplantae; Streptophyta; Magnoliopsida; Lamiales; Oleaceae.